This is a long non-coding RNA of Dendronephthya gigantea, 650 nucleotides long. RefSeq lists it as uncharacterized. The record is from RefSeq and is a predicted model, not a curated record. NCBI's taxonomy places the organism in Eukaryota, Metazoa, Cnidaria, Anthozoa, Malacalcyonacea, Nephtheidae. The transcript has 2 exons.
CUCCCAAGAUAGACUUUCUCGAAGCUUCAUUUUUGAGAAUCGUUUAAACCCACCCUACUUUCUACUGUCGUUCUUUGCAUAUCAUAUUUUCUUGUCAUAUUUGCACAUUUCAAGCACUUCCCGAACAUUGUAACGUACUUAAGUCACACAAUAGACACAUGCACAUUCUCAGCUUAUCAUUGAAGUGGAGGUCUAGAUUGUGUCAUGCUUGCUUCGAAUUACUAUCAUUACCAGCCCGGUUCAGGAUGGAGAGAGGUAGAUGGAAAGAGGCACGUUGGUAAUCCUGAUAUCCCAACGACAACGUAAUCAGUUCACGCUGAAUGAAGUCGAAGAGAGUUGGGAUUCGCAUGCCAGCCAAGUGGAAUAGCAUCGAGACAUCGCGUCUGCGGUCUGCAUGCUAGAUAUUUACAACCUUUCUUCAAAAGAGAACAUGUAAAAUUUGAGCUAUACACUAGCUGUUAUCCACAAAGGACCGCCUUAUUGUUCUUCUCUCGUUUUCACUAUAUAUUUAUAUAUUUAAAGUCUUUAUGUUCAUUGACUCUGUAAGACUGACUCGGCUCUAAGUGUUGUUCGUUGACUGUGUCUGUGUAUUCACAGAAUGAUGUUCGUAAUUUACCAAACGUCUUCCAAUUAAAUACCUGCAAAAUGAA